This 365-nucleotide long non-coding RNA is filed under the name Bos taurus (domestic cattle). Its description in RNAcentral is "long non-coding RNA NONBTAT018989". Lineage: Eukaryota; Metazoa; Chordata; Mammalia; Artiodactyla; Bovidae. The record is from RNAcentral.
UCCCGUGGGAAGCCAUGCUGUGAUCUGGAGCAGCCAGCUGGCCAGCGUGGGCUUGAGUCAGUCUGACUAAGUGGGGGUGACAGCCGGUGUGCCCUUUAUGUUUUUUCCAGGGCCUUGCAUGCCGGGGAAGGAGCCCAGGGUCCUAAACUGACCCCACUUCCCAUUUGGUUUGCCCUCCAAACUCACCUGCUCCAGGCUUGACUUCAGCCAAGUCGUGGGAGAAUUAUCAUAGUUGCUUUUAAUUCUUUUUUACCAUACCUGCCUUUCUGUCACUGAAAGGGCUGUGAAAAGUUGCAACAUUUGAAGCAUAGAGAGAGGUAUUGGGGUUGAGGCAAAUACUUUGCACUCUGAGCCAAAAAAUCCAU